Molecule: ribosomal RNA, 447 nt
Filed under: uncultured bacterium
Lineage: Bacteria
Description: bacterial SSU rRNA
Rfam family: Bacterial small subunit ribosomal RNA
Source: RNAcentral
GACGAACGCUGGCGGUGUGCUUCACACAUGCAAGUCGAACGAGGUAGCAAUACCUAGUGGCGGACGGGUGAGUAAACGCGUGGGAAUCUGCCUUUAGAUGGGGGAUAACGGGUCGAAAGACUCGCUAAUACCGCAUAUGACGAAAGUUGAAAGGAGUAAUCCGUCUAAAGAUGAGCCCGCGUCCGAUUAGCUAGUUGGUAGAGUAAAAGCCUACCAAGGCGACGAUCGGUAGCUGGUCUGAGAGGAUGAUCAGCCACAAUGGGAACUAGAGACACGGCCCAUACUCCUACGGAGGCAGCAGUGGGAAUUUACGCAAUGGCGAAAGCCUGACGUAGCGACACCGCGUGAGCGAAGAAGCCCUGGGUGUAAAGCUCUGUCAGCUGGAACGAAAAAAUGACGGUACCAGCAGAGAAGCAUCGGCUAACUACGUGCCAGCAGCCGCGGUAA